This is an RNA transcript of Macaca mulatta (Rhesus monkey), 2315 nucleotides long. It is a transcript of the gene named small ribosomal subunit protein eS12 pseudogene, with no coding region annotated. The record is from RefSeq and is a predicted model, not a curated record. Lineage: Eukaryota; Metazoa; Chordata; Mammalia; Primates; Cercopithecidae.
UGAGCCAUGGAGUCAGUGAUGCCCCACGAUCUUAAAGGCUUCAGUGUGUCAUUUCUACAAACCAGGACAUUCUUUUACUUAACCACAACACAGUGAUCAACAUCGGGAAAUUAACGCUGAUAUAUUACCAUCUAACCUACAGACCCUGUUCAAGUUGCCAGUUGUCCCAUCAAUGUCCUUCAUAGUCAAGUGCUCACAUUGCAUUUUGUUACAUCUCUUUAGUCUCCACCACUCUUACAAGUUUGUCUUUCUUGACUUUAAUUACUUUAACAUUUUUUAAGAUUUCAGGUCAGUUAUUUUGUAGACCAUUCCUCAAUUUGGGUUUGCCUGAUGUUUCCUUUUUAUUAGAUUUAGAUUGUACCUUUUUGGCAAGAAAACCACAAAAGAGAGAUUGUCUUCUUCUUGCAUCUUAUCAGGUGUCACACAGUUUUGAUUUGUCCAGUUUAUUUCCUCUGCACUAACCCUGCAAAGGGCUUUUUCUCUAAGAUCUGAUCUCUUUUAGCAGAAAAUGGUAUUUAGAAACCAAGAUCUGGGCAGUAGGCAUGCUCAUUGUUUUGUGCCAUUGCUGUUUCCAAGCCCUCUCAUGGAACAGAGCUAGGGAACAAACAUGAAUGCAUGUGCAUGCACACACACACACACACACACACACACACACACACACACACACACACACAUACACCUAUACGUCUCUGUAUCUACACAUACUGAAAGCUGUAAGAGUUUAUACCAGUACUUCCAAUUCCAACCUUAUUCUAGUUUUCAGCCUUUCCAAAUUUGUAAUUCUCUUCUCUGACUAUAAGAAAUCUGGCUCCUGCUUUUUCUCUGCCGCCACCGAGUUGUACAGAGGUGGAGUCUCGGGUGCAUUCAAGAUUUGGCUUCACUUGUAACCCACUGCCAUGGCGGAGGAAGGCAGUGCUGCUGGAGGUGCAGUGGACAUUAAUACUGUUUUACAGGAGGUGCUGAAGACUGCCGUCAUCCAUGAUGGCCUAGCACGUGAAAUUUGCAAAGCUGCCAAAGGCUUAGACAAGUGCCAAGCCCAUCUUUGGGUGCUGUGUGUGCUUGCAUCCAACUGUGAUGAGCCUAUGUAUGUCCAGUUGGUGGAGGCCCUUUGUGCUGAACACCAAAUCAACCUAAUUAAGGUUGAUGACAAGAAACUAGGAGAAUGGGCAGGCCUCUGUAAAACUGACAGAGGGGAAACCCCGUAAAGUGGUUGGUUGAAGUUGUGUAGUAGUUAAGAACUAUGGCAAGGAGUCUCAGGCCAAGGACGUCAUUGAAGAGUACUUCAAAUGCAAGAAAUGAACAAAUAAAUUUUUGGCACACACACACACAGACACGCACUUAAAAAAAAAAGAAAAAAGAAAGAAAAAAGAAAUUUGACUCAGUCCUCCUCAAAAAUAACCAAUCUAUUGCUGCCUCAUUAUUCACAGUCCCCUCCCUGCUGCCCUCAGACGUUCUCCUCAGGCUCCACACUGCAGCCCUACACUAGGCCACUACCACUGCCCCCUGUGGUAACAUCUUCUUGCACUUGAUACAGAACAAGCAAAUGGCUUUUGUCCUGAAUUAUUCAGGAAGGGAGGGAGACAGGUGGGAAGGAAGUCAGGAAGGCAGAAAAUAAAAAUCGUUUGAUACCACAGAAAUACGAAGGAUCAAAGGAGAUUAUUAGGAACAAUUAUAUAUUAUAUGCCAACAAUUGGAUCACCUAGAAGUGGACAGAUUUCCAGACGCAUACAACCUACCAAGAAUGAAUCAUAAACAGAAAAUCUAAACAGACCAAUAGCAAAUAAGGGUCACCUUUACUCUGAGGAGAGGACAGUAGGUAGGGAAGCAGUACAACUUUUAACUUGGAGCAAAACCAUGCUCUAGGGAAACAUUAUUAGCAUCCCCAGCAACAGCAGCAGCCAUCGCUGCUGCCAAUACCUGCAAAUGGGAAAAAGGCCAGCAGCCAAAAUGAAGGCUUGACUAUUGACCCGAAGCAUUUUAGGAAACCAGGAAAGAAGCCCUUCACCAAACAAAGCUAUUUCUUUGUGGGAAGUGUUCACAUCACUGAGGAGGAAAUGAGGAAAUGUGAGAAAUACGGGAAGGCAAUUUCACAGAAAGAGGAUUUAAAUAAACAAAAAGGAAAAAUUAAAAAAUUAAAAACAAUAACAACAAAAAAGAAACAUGGGAAGGCAGGUGAGGUCUUCAUAAGGAUAAAGGCUUUGACUUUAUGCACUUGGAAGCACAAACCCUAGUAGAGAUUGCCAAAGUGGGUCUGGACAAUAUGCAGCUGUGUGCACUCUGCCUGCCACAGUGCAUCCCUUACAGUCCGAAACCUU